UUCCGGUUGAUCCCGCCGGACCCGACUGCUAUCGGAUUGAGACUAAGCCAUGCGAGUCAACCCGCAAGGGUGGCGGACGGCUCAGUAACACGUAGUGAACCUGCCCUGGGGACGUGGACAACCAUGGGAAACUGUGGCUAAACCGCGAUAGGUCAUUGUUUCUGGAAUGGGCAAUGGCUCAAACCUACAUGGCCCCAGGAUGGCACUGCGGCCGAUCAGGUUGUUGGUGAGGUAAUGGCCCACCAAGCCUGUAACCGGUACGGGGCUCUGAGAGGAGGAGCCUGGAGAUGGGCACUGAGACAAGGGCCCAGGUCCUAUGGGACGCAGCAGGCGCGAAACCUUCGCAAUAGGCGAAAGCCUGACGAGGUUAUUCCGAGUGUUCCCUGCUAAAGGGAUCUUUUGCCAGCUCUAAAAAUGCUGGUGAAUAAGGGGUGGGCAAGCCUGGUGUCAGCCGCCGCGGUAAUACCAGCACCCCGAGUGGUCGGGAUGAUUAUUUGGCCUAAAGCAUCCGUAGCCGGCGCAUCAAGUCUUCCAUUAAAUCCACCUGCUCAACAGAUGGGCUGCGGGAGAUACUGCUGCGCUAGGAGGCGGGAGAGGCGAGGGGUAUUCCAUGGGUAGGGGUAAAAUCCUCUGAUCCAUGGAGGACCACCCAGUGGCGAAGGCGUCUCGCCAGAACGCGCUCGACGGUGAGGGAUGAAAGCUGGGGGAGCAAACCGGAUUAGAUACCCGGGUAGUCCCAGCUGUAAACGAUGUAGGCUCGGUGAUGGACUGGGUUCGAUCCAGCCCAGUGCCGCAGGGAAGCCGUUAAGCCUACCGCCUGGGGAGUACGGUCGCAAGACUGAAACUGAAAGGAAUUGGCGGG
Molecule: ribosomal RNA, 862 nt
Filed under: uncultured Thermoprotei archaeon
Lineage: Archaea; Thermoproteati; Thermoproteota; Thermoprotei
Description: bacterial SSU rRNA
Rfam family: Archaeal small subunit ribosomal RNA
Source: RNAcentral